Molecule: long non-coding RNA, 473 nt
Filed under: Olea europaea (common olive)
Lineage: Eukaryota; Viridiplantae; Streptophyta; Magnoliopsida; Lamiales; Oleaceae
Description: long non-coding RNA (OEUR_LNC003057)
Source: RNAcentral
ACCUAAUUCAAAGAAAGGAAAGAGAAGAAAAUAAUUCUAGAUUUACCCUAUUUCUUCCACUUUUUCUAGCUCCAAAUUCACCAAUUCCAUUAAACAAUUCAAACGAAGGAAGAAAACGGCAAAUCAAAGAUUUGAUUGCACAAUAAACAGGGGAAAAAGAUAGCAAAGAUUUGCCAGAAAGAUAGCAAAUAAUUCAGCUAUUCCCUUCACCAAAACUUGGCUGAAGCUCUUAAUAACUCCUCCAAAUCAAACACCCUAGAUUGUGAUUAGGGAACUUUAUUUUCAAUUUCUUUCUAUAAUUUGAUCUGCUUCUUCAGUUUCAAGUUGUCAUGUUUGUAUUUCAGAUCUUUGAAAUCAAAUUUGUUUUUGAGGUUUUGCCAUUUUCGUGGUGUAAGUGGUAGUACUAGUGAAUGAAGGCGGUGAUGAUGAGAAAAGGUGAUGGCGGAGGUGUUGGCAAAUUUAUAUCAACUGGG